RNAcentral lists this ribosomal RNA (567 nucleotides) under Gliomastix roseogrisea. Its description in RNAcentral is "partial large subunit ribosomal RNA". It matches the Rfam family "Eukaryotic large subunit ribosomal RNA", at positions 56 to 648 of the family's 3401-position model. Lineage: Eukaryota; Fungi; Ascomycota; Sordariomycetes; Hypocreales; Bionectriaceae. The record is from RNAcentral.
GAAAAGAAACCAACAGGGAUUGCCUCAGUAACGGCGAGUGAAGCGGCAACAGCUCAAAUUUGAAAUCUGGCCUCUGGCCCGAGUUGUAAUUUGCAGAGGAUGUUUCUGGCGAGGUGCCUUCCGAGUUCCCUGGAACGGGACGCCAUAGAGGGUGAGAGCCCCGUACGGUUGGUCGCUAAGCCUCUGUGAAACUCCUUCGACGAGUCGAGUAGUUUGGGAAUGCUGCUCUAAAUGGGAGGUGUACGCCUUCUAAAGCUAAAUAUAGGCUAGAGACCGAUAGCGCACAAGUAGAGUGAUCGAAAGAUGAAAAGCACUUUGAAAAGAGGGUUAAAUAGUACGUGAAAUUGUUGAAAGGGAAGCGCUCUUGACCAGACUUGCGCCGGUUGAUCAUCCACCGUUCUCGGUGGUGCACUCUGCCGGCUCAGGCCAGCAUCAGUUCGGCUUGGGGGAUAAAGGCUUCGGGAAUGUGGCUCUCUCCGGGGAGUGUUAUAGCCCGUUGCGUAAUACCCUGGGCCGGACUGAGGUUCGCGCAUCUGCAUGGAUGCUGGCGUAAUGGUCAUCAGUGAC